This 77-nucleotide transfer RNA is filed under the name Prosthecobacter sp. Its description in RNAcentral is "tRNA-Asp". It matches the Rfam family "tRNA". From Rfam's summary of the family: Transfer RNA (tRNA) molecules are approximately 80 nucleotides in length. Their secondary structure includes four short double-helical elements and three loops (D, anti-codon, and T loops). Further hydrogen bonds mediate the characteristic L-shaped molecular structure. tRNAs have two regions of fundamental functional importance: the anti-codon, which is responsible for specific mRNA codon recognition, and the 3' end, to which the tRNAs corresponding amino acid is attached (by aminoacyl-tRNA synthetases). tRNAs cope with the degeneracy of the genetic code in two manners: having more than one tRNA (with a specific anti-codon) for a particular amino acid; and 'wobble' base-pairing, i.e. permitting non-standard base-pairing at the 3rd anti-codon position. Lineage: Bacteria; Pseudomonadati; Verrucomicrobiota; Verrucomicrobiia; Verrucomicrobiales; Verrucomicrobiaceae. The record is from RNAcentral. RNAcentral also lists the same sequence under 3 other names.
GGAGCGGUAGUUCAGUCGGUUAGAACGCCAGCCUGUCACGUUGGAGGUCGCGGGUUCGAGCCCCGUCCGCUCCGCCA